CAAAAGCAGAGAAAAAAUCCAGAAAAUACAAAGCAGUAUUUUACUAUUUUAUAUAGGACUUGAGUGCUAGAAUUCCAUAAAUAUACACAGAAAUUUCUAUUGUUUCAUUGAUCUCUUAUCUGCCUUCUAAAAUUUACCAUCUCUUAAGUACCUUAUAGUUCAUUUGAGGUUGAUACGAAAUGAUUUGAUUUUUAAAAAUUGCUACGAAGUUGGUUUUUGGUUUGUUGGAGGGCAUAUACUAUUUCAUCGAAUGCUCUUUCUGAAGUUUUUUGAUUUCGGGAACAACUUUUCGUUCUUCUGAGGCUUGAUAAGCUGAUUUUUAGAUUUUUAAAAGCUUGGUCUAGUGUGUGCUAUUUAGUUACUAGUCUAUUAGUAUUUUUGAGUUGAUUUCAUAUUUGAAUCUUUAAUCUGGGCACUUUGUUGUUGCUGCUCGACUGAUUCCUCCUCCUUCUAUUUCAUUUUACUGCUAGGUACACAUUUCUCAAAUUCAAACAAUGUGAAUAUGCAAAGUUGGAAGUUGAAAUGGAAUAAAUACAUUGAUAUUGAGUAUAAUUUUUAGCAUGCUUCUUCUUCUUUCUGAUUCAUGUUGUUCUUCGAAAACAAUUUGUAUUUACCUUAGGAUUUGGUCAUGUUCUAGUUGAGUAGUAAUUGUAUUCAUAACCUAACUUACCGGUUUAUUUUACUUUUUUCUAUUAGUCUUGCUUUAUUUUUUUAGGAUUGAAUCUGGAUGAUGUUAUUUGACUAAAUAAAAGCUAUUUUGAAUCACUAGUCAUGUGUUAAGUAAGAAUGUCUCAGGUGGCUGUAGUGUAUCUUUGAAUUUAGUGUGCAGUAUGGGCAAUUGUUUCUUUGAGACGGGAUGUGAUUUAUUGGUUUCAGGGUUUUUUUUAGCUUGACCAUAUCCAUGUUGCUAUAAGUUUUUUUUAUGUGCAAAAAGUUGUAGAUGUAAUGGUAUGUUUAAAAUUGAAUUUGAAUACAUAUGAGUUUGAUAUUAAAAAUUUGAGUAGUAAUUGUAUUCAUAACCUAGCUCACUGGUUUGUUUACUUUCAUCCAUUCAUCCUGCUUUGUUUUCUAUAAGAAUUGAAUCUGGAUGCUGUUAAUUUGACUGAUUCAAAGCUAUUUUGAAUCACUAGUCAGGUGUUAAGUGAGGGUUUCUCAGUCUGCUGUAGUGUACCAUUGGAUCUACUAUGCAGAAUGGGUUGGUAUUUGCUUGAGAUGGGAUGUGAUUCAGUGAUUUCAGAGAGUGUUUUAGCUUAAUCAUGUUCAUGUUGACAUAAGAUUUUCAAUAUAUAUG
RNAcentral lists this long non-coding RNA (1291 nucleotides) under Nicotiana benthamiana. Its description in RNAcentral is "long non-coding RNA (NBEN_LNC015699)". Lineage: Eukaryota; Viridiplantae; Streptophyta; Magnoliopsida; Solanales; Solanaceae. The record is from RNAcentral.